CCUGCGAGGUGUGGUCCUGGGCCUCUGGGCCCACCUGCUGAGUCUGCUUUGGCUCCCAGUGUCAGAACUGGAAUGCUGGGAGUAACCCGGCUCCGUCUAGCCCCAGAGGAGCUGCCACCGAGGCCUGUCAGGUGUGGAGAGUUUUUUCCAACGACUGGCUUCAUAGGCCCCACUGGAGACCGUUUUGGCAUUUGAGCCCCAGGUCCUGUGUAUCUUACGUCAGCCCCAGUGUUGAGGAUGCCAGGGGCCCUGUACCUCUGAAGCCCCUUCUGCCUGCCCUGCAGCAGUUGCAGCUCCUGGGCCGGUUCUGCCAGGAGCAGGGGAUCCCGUUCCCACCCAUCUCGCCCAGCCCCGAAGAGCAGCUCCAGCCUCGGGAGUGCCACACCUUCUCCGACCCCACCUGCCCCGGAGCCCCUGCGGUGCUGCACUUUCCUCUGGUCAGCGACUCCUUCCGGGAGUACUCGGCCCCUGGUGAGCUGCUGUUCACCUCCCCAUCCUGCUGCCCCAGUCCCCCACACCUCCUCCGUCCCCUGUGCCUCUCCAAACCCAUCUUCCCCACAACGUGUUCCCCAUGCCAGGCUGCACUCUCUCCACAGGGGUCCGGCGGCCACCCGAGGAGGCGGCAGCUGGGGAGGUGAACCUGUCUUCAUCGGACUCUCCCUACCACUACACGAAGGUGACCUACAGCCAGGAGGACGUGGACAAGUUCCUGCACCUGACACAUUACAAUGUCUGCAACAACCAGGAGCAGCUGCUGGAGGCUCUGCGCCAGGCAGUGCAGCGGAGGCGGCAGCGCAGGCCCCACUGAUAGUUAAGGGUGGCAGGGGCCCCGGCCAACUCUCAUUCAUUCCUUGGCUGCUGAGUUGCAGACAGGAAUGCAGGGGGAGGCCAGGCAAUGGCUGUUUCCUGCCACAUGGGUAUGGCCACCCCAGAAUCUUCUCCAAACAAACAAACACUGGUGCCCCUGCCCUCCCCUGGACCAGCCAGCCUCCUAGAAUAAGCGUGGGAGUGGAUUCCAGAGCUGACAGGCGCUGCGGCAGCGACCACAGUGACGGGACUGGGAGCAGAUGGUUACACUGGAGACCACAGCCGUGGCUGCCACCCCUCAUGGUAUGAGCCCUCCAGGCACACGGCUGUAUAUGCGUGUGCACGUCUAGGCACAUCCUGGCAUGGGGCCUAUGCACGGAGGAUUUGCCUGUCUCCAGUCCCUCCUCCACUUUCACCUAACCUCAGGUGUCCCCUCCCCCUGGAGAGCCUGAAGCCCUCUGGUUUGGAAGGGAAGGACAUGUGGGUGAGGGGGGUUGAGCAUCGAAAUGAUGCUGGGAUCUACAAGGAGGGACUGAGGAGCCAGGUAAGAGCCUCCUGCCCCCGCACAUCCACCUUCGCAUCUCCUCCCUGGCCUGCAGGCCGGGACGUGCUGGCCCUCUCCAUUGCCAUGGAGUGGGGAUUGGGGAAAGGAGGGGAGGACCAGGUAGAGAACGGGUUGGAACAAGGGUGGGGCAGGGUCUGGCCGUCCUGCCAAUGUGCUGUGCCUUGGAGAGGGGAGAGGAGGGAGGAAAGUGAGGAGUGCGUGGGAAACAAACCCAGGCAGGCUCUCAGCACUGGGCAGAGGGAAACCUGGCUGCUCCUCCCACAAG
Long non-coding RNA from Pan troglodytes (chimpanzee), 1637 nucleotides. The record is from Ensembl. Lineage: Eukaryota; Metazoa; Chordata; Mammalia; Primates; Hominidae.